UUUGUGGCACCGUUAGGAACUGUUAUCAUAAUUAGGGACAAUAUGCAACUGUUCUGCAUGUCAAGCAAAGAACAUUUACUUUUAAAAUAAAGUUUCCAAAGAAUACAAUUUUCUUUUUUAUUUCAUUAAAUCAAUUCAACUUGUUUCAAGACGGGCCGAUAUGCUAAUCUGAGAUGUUUCUGCCACUAACUAGAGUUACAAAUUCUACCCUAAUCAUUACAAUUCCUUCUCACUUUUAUCUUCAGAUAUAAGUGUAGGUCCUACUCUGAAGGACAUUGGUUUUGGGGACUCUGCUGCUCCAGACUGUGGACAGUGCUGGGUGCUGCUGGUCACACUGUGCCCGUCCUCUGCUCUCCUCUCUUUGGUCCUCUACCUCCUCUGCAGUCACAUGGUUUGUGCCAGAAAACACCCUGCCGCCUCUCAGGAAAACAGACCUUUAUUACCGCAACAUGAGGAUGAAAACUAUAGCCGUGUAUUUUAUGCUGUGUUGAAAACUCCACAAAAAAAAGGAUCUCACAGCUUCUUCGUUUGCAGUACGAGUGGGCUUUGAGAGGCGGAUUGGUUAGAGUUCCUCCCUCCACAACACACACAGCCCAACGCACACACAUAGACUCACUCACAACAACAAACAAACACACAGUCGUACACACAAACACACAUGAAUUGAAAUUCCCUUGUGUUUCAAGGUAUUUUGAUGCCUUGAAAUUAGUACAACUUGGAUUGAUUUACAAUAUGUUACACAGAAAACAUUGAAAUAUGCAUUUGUAUAUUGUUUUAUACCCAAAAGUAACCUGUCUAUUAUAUGUUUUCAUUAAA
Long non-coding RNA from Gadus macrocephalus (Pacific cod), 816 nucleotides. RefSeq lists it as uncharacterized. Lineage: Eukaryota; Metazoa; Chordata; Actinopteri; Gadiformes; Gadidae. The transcript is spliced from 4 exons. The record is from RefSeq and is a predicted model, not a curated record.